This 487-nucleotide ribosomal RNA is filed under the name Lunaceps actophilus. Its description in RNAcentral is "partial 16S ribosomal RNA". It matches the Rfam family "Archaeal large subunit ribosomal RNA", at positions 1912 to 2666 of the family's 2987-position model. The record is from RNAcentral. Lineage: Eukaryota; Metazoa; Arthropoda; Insecta; Psocodea; Philopteridae.
CUCCUUCUGAAAGGAUAGAAGGUAGGCCCUGCCCAAUGCGAAAGUGAAUGGCCGCAGUAAUUUGACUGUGCUAAGGUAGCAUAAUAAUUUGGCUUUUAAUUGGAGUCUGGAAUGAAGGGGUUGACAGGCUUUCUGCUUUCUUCUUGAAAGCAUUUUUAAUUUUAGUUUCAGGUAAAAACUCCUGAAUGAGAGGGAGGGACGAUAAGACCCUAUAGAUCUGCCCCCUUCUUUUUCUUCUAACAAGAAAAAAGAAGGGGUCGCUUGGGAUGAGACGAAAUAGACUGUGAACAUUCGUUAAUAUGAAGUCAGAUAAGACAAAAUAAGAUCCCCUAUAUUAGGGAGAAAAAGGAAAGUUACCUUAGGGAUAACAGCGUUAUACUCACUGCUAGAACUUAUGGUUGUGAGUGUUUGCGACCUCGAUGUUGAAUUAAGUUUUCCUUUUUACGAAGAAAGAAAAAAGGUUAGUCUGUUCGACUAUUAAAAACUU